UACGGAGGGUGCGAGCGUUGUCCGGAAUCACUGGGCGUAAAGGGCGCGUAGGUGGCCUGUGGAAGUCUGCGGUGAAAGCCCGGCGCUCAACGCCGGGUCGGCCGUGGGAUACUCUCGGGCUCGAGCUUACUAGAGGCAGAUGGAAUUCCGGGUGUAGCGGUGGAAUGCGUAGAGAUCCGGAAGAACACCGGGUGGCGAAGGCGGGUCAUGCUGGGGUAAUGCUGGACACUGAUGCGCGGACAGCGGUGGGGAGCAAACAGG
RNAcentral lists this ribosomal RNA (261 nucleotides) under uncultured bacterium. RNAcentral describes it as "partial 16S ribosomal RNA". It matches the Rfam family "Bacterial small subunit ribosomal RNA", at positions 524 to 776 of the family's 1533-position model. The record is from RNAcentral.